Long non-coding RNA from Vicia villosa (hairy vetch), 835 nucleotides. RefSeq lists it as uncharacterized. Lineage: Eukaryota; Viridiplantae; Streptophyta; Magnoliopsida; Fabales; Fabaceae. The record is from RefSeq and is a predicted model, not a curated record. The transcript is spliced from 7 exons.
AAUAGGGUUAUGGCGGAUGUACUCGGUCGGUUUCGGAUAAUAAUUUUGGGCCCAUCGGAAACCGAGUCCGACCGAAUCAAUAAUAUAUUAAUUUUAUUAUUUAUAUUUAUUAUUAGUACUAGGGUUAGAGAUAAGUUUUCUCUCAUUCUUUCUUCUGGCGCCGCAACAUGACCUUCGCCUCUCAUCUCUUUCAAUCUUCUCUCAUCUCUUUCCUCACCACCACCAUAUUCACCCUUCGUUGCUUCCCUCACCACCAUCUUCGUCUCUCUAACAGACACACGUUCUCGUUCUCUCUGACUUUCACUGAAUCACCACUCAGUUUUGAAGCCCAAACCCUAACCCCCAAAUCAUUGAAAAUGUUUACAAUGACAUUGAAAGGUUUCAAGAAUGGAGUUAGGGUAGAUUUGUAAAACAGAAGUGAACUGAUUCUCAUACCAGAUCUGAAGUUCUCGUGAAGAAAUAAUGGUUUCAGGAAUGGAGUUAGUGUGGAUUUGUUGAACAGAAGUGAAGUGAUUCUCAUACCAGAUCUGAAGUUCUUGCGAAGAAAUAAUGGUUUCAGGAAUGAAGUUAAUGGAGUUAGUGUAUAUUUGUAGAACAGAAGUGAUUCUCAUACCAGAUCUAAAGUUCUUGUGAAGAAAUAAUGGCAAUUUGUGGGAUGAUUUGAACUACAGCAAAACCAAUAUUUACUGAUUACAUUGGGAAGUAUCAGAUCAAAGUAAUUGAGUUUGAUCAGUUGACCUUUGAAAACUCAAUCACGUGCAAUUGAAGGAUGCAAUAACCUUUGGAUUUGAAAUAAUUUAAAUAUGCUGAAGAAUUUAGGCUUUGGAGAAUGGAG